UGCAGUGUCCGUCUAUAUCCAAGAACACCUCCAGCUGCGCCAGGGCGUCCGAAUUCCUGCCCUUGGCUCCUUCGACGUUGUCCCCAGAUGGGUCAAGGACGGGGACGAGACUGUGAUUUUCCUGAUGCCCACAUUCCGCCUGGCCAGGAAUCUUGUCAUCACCCACACCCUCACGGAUGACAAGGAGUACCUGCCAGGCCAUAAGGAGCUGGAGCCCCUCAAAGUGGCUGAGGUGGCCGCCAACGCCUGCAUGUCCCAGCAGAGAGUGGAGAACUGCAUUCAAGGCACCACGUCCCUCAUCUCUCGCUGCCUGGGGAAGGGGGAGAAC
This is a long non-coding RNA of Cygnus atratus (black swan), 328 nucleotides long. RefSeq lists it as uncharacterized. The transcript has 3 exons. NCBI's taxonomy places the organism in Eukaryota, Metazoa, Chordata, Aves, Anseriformes, Anatidae. The record is from RefSeq and is a predicted model, not a curated record.